RNAcentral lists this ribosomal RNA (220 nucleotides) under uncultured bacterium. RNAcentral describes it as "partial 16S ribosomal RNA". It matches the Rfam family "Bacterial small subunit ribosomal RNA", at positions 1281 to 1500 of the family's 1533-position model. The record is from RNAcentral.
CACAGUCUCAGUUCAGAUUGUAGGCUGAAACUCGCCUAUAUGAAGUCGGAAUUGCUAGUAAUCGCGGAUCAGCAUGCCGCGGUGAAUACGUUCCCGGGCCUUGUACACACCGCCCGUCACACCAUGAGAGUCGAUAACACCCGAAGCCUGUAGUCUAACAGCAAUGAGGACGCAGUCGAAGGUGGGAUUGAUAAUUAGGGUGAAGUCGUAACAAGGUAUC